GUGUCAGCCGCCGCGGUAAUACGUAGGUGGCAAGCGUUGUCCGGAAUUACUGGGCGUAAAGGGUGCGCAGGCGGACAUUUAAGUGAGAUGUGAAAGACCCGGGCUUAACUUGGGCAGUGCAUUUCAAACUGGAUGUCUGGAGUGCAGGAGAGGAGAACGGAAUUCCUUGUGUAGCGGUGAAAUAGGUAGAGAUUAGGAAAAACACCAGUGGCGAAGGCGGUUAUCUGGACUGUAACUGACGCUGAUGCACGAAAGCGUGGGUAGCAAACAGG
This 272-nucleotide ribosomal RNA is filed under the name uncultured bacterium. RNAcentral describes it as "partial 16S rRNA". It matches the Rfam family "Bacterial small subunit ribosomal RNA", at positions 505 to 776 of the family's 1533-position model. The record is from RNAcentral.